RNAcentral lists this ribosomal RNA (920 nucleotides) under marine metagenome. RNAcentral describes it as "bacterial SSU rRNA". It matches the Rfam family "Bacterial small subunit ribosomal RNA", at positions 372 to 1295 of the family's 1533-position model. The record is from RNAcentral.
UGGAGGAAACUCUGACGCAGCCACGCCGCGUGCCGGAAGACGGCCCUAUGGGUUGUAAACGGCUUUUGUUCGGGAAGAAAGUAUGGGUUUUGAUCUGUAUUGACGGUACCGAUUGAAUAAGCACCGGCUAACUCCGUGCCAGCAGCCGCGGUAAUACGGAGGGUGCAAGCGUUGUCCGGAAUCAUUGGGUGUAAAGGGUGCGUAGGCUGGUGUCUAAGUCUGGGGUGAAAUUUUGCCGCUUAACGGUAACAUGGCCUUGGAUACUGGAUGCCUUGAAUCUGACAGAGGUCGGUGGAAUUCGUAGUGUAGCGGUGAAAUGCAUAGAUAUUACGAAGAACACCAGUGGCGAAGGCGGCCGGCUGGGUCAGUAUUGACGCUGAGGCACGAGAGCGUGGGGAGCGAACAGGAUUAGAUACCCUGGUAGUCCACGCUGUAAACGAUGUAUGCUAGUUGUUGGGCCUUUGGGUUCAGUGACGCAGUUAACGCAGUAAGCAUACCACCUGGGGAGUACGUUCGCAAGAAUGAAACUCAAAGGAAUUGACGGGGGCCCGCACAAGCGGUGGAGCAUGUGGCUUAAUUCGAUGCAACGCGAAGAACCUUACCCGGGCUAAAUCCUGAUUUGAUACCCCGAAACGGGUAGUUCUCUUCGGAGCGGUCAGGAAGGUGCUGCAUGGCUGUCGUCAGCUCGUGCCGUGAGGUGUUGCCUUAAGUGGCGCAACGAGCGCAACCCCUAUGGUUAGUUACCAGCACGUAAUGGUGGGGACUCUAGCCAGACUGCCUACGCAAGUAGUGAGGAAGGUGGGGACGACGUCAAGUCAUCAUGGCCCUUAUGUCCGGGGCUGCACACGUGCUACAAUGGACGGUACAGAGGGAAGCCACCCAGCGAUGGGGCGCAGAUCUCGAAAGCCGUUCCCAGUUCG